RNAcentral lists this long non-coding RNA (1072 nucleotides) under Chinchilla lanigera (long-tailed chinchilla). RNAcentral describes it as "lncRNA (ENSCLAG00000024213.1)". The record is from RNAcentral. Lineage: Eukaryota; Metazoa; Chordata; Mammalia; Rodentia; Chinchillidae.
CAGAGAUUUAACAACACCACCAACAAAAGAAAUUUAACCCAGUAUUAUAUUUGGUACAACCUAGGCACUGUGUGUACAUGAAAACUGAUUUUUGGUGAAUUUCUCAGAUAAAGAGUUUGUCUCGAGAUUUUCUCAGAAGGCAGGUGGGCCUGAGCGAUUCAAGACAGCAGAAGUUGUACAGAGACAGAAGUUAUCUACAUGUCCAAGAAGGGUUACAUUCACAAAGUCUGCUUUUCCAAGCCACCAGAUCCAAGCUCCUGAACUGACACCCACCUGCUUCUCCUGCCAGGACCAAAGUCAUAGAAAGACACCAAGAUGGGGUCAGCAGAAGUGAUAUUUGGCCACAGGCCUGGUAUUACUCUUUCUUUAUAGGUGACAUAAACAUGAAGACUAGAGAACACGAACUCAUUGCAGAUAUCGUUCAGGUUGGAGUUUCUAUUUUCUUGUAUCAUUUUGGAGUUCCCCACAGAGAUCGUUGGACAGAGUUUCAGUGUCUCCUACUAAUUUGGCCCAGCAGCAUUCCAGUGGCUGAGGAGACACCUUGUCCAGCCAGCUUAGUGUUUUCUGAAGAUGCAGGUUGAACCCAUCAGCCAACAUUAAGUUUCUCCCUUAAGUGGGUUUGGAAAAGGAGACACAAGAAGAUACUGAGUUUGUAUCUAGUCAGAAUUAUGGCACCAGUGACCUCUACCCUCCAGUGAAGGCCUUGGUCAUGCCAUGUCACGUGGCAAAAGAGAUUUUGCAGGUGAAAUUAAAGUGAUGAGAAUAAAAUAGUGAGGUUGCUGGGAGGAUCCAAUCUAAUCAGAAGGCCUCCUCACUCCACUGGUAAGCAGAAGAGCGAUGCAUCAGAUAAAAAAUACAACAGAUUCAAUACACAAGAGGGAUUUGGCUUUGACGUUGUUGCUGGCUCCAGCGAGGGCUGCAUUGGUCAGGAUUCAGAAACAGAACUGAUAGGCUGUAUAUCCACAUGGAAAAAGAUGUAUUAUAAGGAACUGAAAACAAAAUUGUGGAAGCUGACAAGUCCCAAGGUGUGCAGUGUGAGUCAGUGAGGCGGCGGCCCAGGAGAACCUGUCGU